AGUGAACGCUGGCGGUAGGCCUAACACAUGCAAGUCGAACGGCAGCACAGUAAGAGCUUGCUCUUACGGGUGGCGAGUGGCGGACGGGUGAGGAAUACAUCGGAAUCUACUUUUUCGUGGGGGCUAACGUAGGGAAACUUACGCUAAUACCGCAUACGACCUACGGGUGAAAGCAGGGGAUCUUCGGACCUUGCGCGAUUGAAUGAGCCGAUGUCGGAUUAGCUAGUUGGCGGGGUAAAGGCCCACCAAGGCGGCGAUCCGUAGCUGGUCUGAGAGGAUGAUCAGCCACACUGGAACUGAGACACGGUCCAGACUCCUACGGGAGGCAGCAGUGGGGAAUAUUGGACAAUGGGCGCAAGCCUGAUCCAGCCAUACCGCGUGGGUGAAGAAGGCCUUCGGGUUGUAAAGCCCUUUUGUUGGGAAAGAAAAGCAGCAGGUUAAUACCCCGCUGUUCUGACGGUACCCAAAGAAUAAGCACCGGCUAACUUCGUG
RNAcentral lists this ribosomal RNA (492 nucleotides) under uncultured bacterium. Its description in RNAcentral is "partial 16S ribosomal RNA". It matches the Rfam family "Bacterial small subunit ribosomal RNA", at positions 29 to 507 of the family's 1533-position model. The record is from RNAcentral.